AAGGGCGAUUUGCAGGUAAAAUUUUUCAACGAAUUUGUGCAAUUUGCUUGUUGAUAAUAAACAUUUAAAGUGUUAUCCAUUGUAUUUUAUGUUGUUGGGUAUCACAAAACCCGAAAAAGUAUGAAAAAGUACAGCGGUUUGCAAUGAUUCUCCUUUCCCCCACAACGCACUGUAUGACGUCACGCUGGGGAGAGAAUUUACCAAAGCAGCCUUGAGAGCAUUGAGAAUGACUAUAGAAAGACGAGUAAAGUACAGUUCUGAUAGCGCAGAUUAUAGAUAGAUAGAUAGAUAGAUAGAUAGAUAGAUAGAUAGAUAGACAGACAGACAGACAGACAGACAGACAGACAGACAGACAGACAGAUGGAUAGGCUAGUAUUCACCUUAUUUUUCACGACAACAAGGGCGGCGCCAUUGCGCUCAUUUUGUCAACGUUCUUCCGGCCGCAUAGACGAUGAGCAGCUGAGGCAGUGACUGAAGGCGACGUGUUAAGCUUAAAAAGCUCACUCGAGCGCCUUUAUGUUUCUUUCUUACCAAUUUUAAGCCAACUGAGGAACACCCUUAUCCCAAGUAAUGGUUCGACUACGAUGUUCCGGUAACUUUAAACUACGCCUGGUGUUGGAAAGGUGGCCAGUUUCAGAUGCAUUGAUGUGUAGUGAUGCAGUGGACAACUGUGAGGAUGAUACAAUCAACAUGUUCCUAAACUGUGAUGCAGAAACACAAUGGGAGCAUCUAUCCGUCUCUGACCACAACUACAAAAUCACAACUCAACCUGAAGCAACAUACAUCUGAUAUGGGAAAACAAUGGUGCGGUUUCCCGGACAGGGCUUAUUCUGGUCCCAGGCUAAAAUGCAUAUUUGAGCUACAAUAAUUUAAAAACACCUUUUACUGACAUACCUCAACAUAUAUGAGUGCCAUUGUUUUGUCACAAGAUGCGCACCAGUCUUGUUUUUUUGUAGGAUUUGUUUGUAAAAACUAAAAUGUCCUAAUAUAAUUAAGGCCUAGUCCUGUAAACCCUGUCCGAGAAACUGCUUCAAUGUGUUGAGCUGGCACAAAUGUACAUAACUCUACUGAGAAACAACCAUCUUUGGUUCAGCUUUACACAGGGUUGAUAUUGCAUCCAUUACACAGUCGCCAAGCACUUUACCAGUACAUACACCAACAGCUUCCACAUAUACGCUUGGGAUCAGCUCCUGAUGAAUCCGAUAAAGCUGUGUCUUAAUUUAUUGCAGGGUGGUCUUGCUUUACCUGUUGUAAAGUUACAUUAAACCUUCAUAUGUGAUCAGAUGUCAUGCAGUGAUAUUAAACAUUUACAGUGUGAUCAGAUGUUGUGCAUUUAUAUUAAACCUUUACAAUGUGAUCA
This is a long non-coding RNA of Paramisgurnus dabryanus, 1360 nucleotides long. RefSeq lists it as uncharacterized. The record is from RefSeq and is a predicted model, not a curated record. NCBI's taxonomy places the organism in Eukaryota, Metazoa, Chordata, Actinopteri, Cypriniformes, Cobitidae.